CAGCCGCCGCGGUAAUACGUAGGGUGCGAGCGUUAAUCGGAUUUACUGGGCGUAAAGCGUGCGCAGGCGGCCCGUUAAGACAGGUGUGAAAUCCCUGGGCUCAACCUAGGAAUUGCGCUUGUGACUGGCGGGCUCGAGUACGGUAGAGGGGGGUGGAAUUCCUGGUGUAGCAGUGAAAUGCGUAGAGAUCAGGAGGAACACCGAUGGCGAAGGCAGCCCCCUGGGCCUGUACUGACGCUCAUGCACGAAAGCGUGGGGAGCAAACAGGAUUAGAUACCCUGGUAGUCCACGCCCUAAACGAUGGGUACUAGCCGUUUGGUGCGCGAUAGCGCUGAGUGGCGAAGCUAACGCGUGAAGUACCCCGCCUGGGGAGUACGGCCGCAAGGUUGAAACUUAAAGGAAUUGCGGG
RNAcentral lists this ribosomal RNA (409 nucleotides) under uncultured microorganism. RNAcentral's name for it is "bacterial SSU rRNA". It matches the Rfam family "Bacterial small subunit ribosomal RNA", at positions 509 to 916 of the family's 1533-position model. The record is from RNAcentral.